Molecule: ribosomal RNA, 484 nt
Filed under: uncultured bacterium
Lineage: Bacteria
Description: partial 16S ribosomal RNA
Rfam family: Bacterial small subunit ribosomal RNA
Source: RNAcentral
AGUGAACGCUGGCGGCAGGCCUAACACAUGCAAGUCGAGCGGAUGAAGGGUGCUUGCUCCUGGUUUCAGCGGCGGACGGGUGAGUGAUGCCUAGGAAUCUGCCUGUCUAUGGUUUCUAACGUCCUGAAACGGGCACUAAUACCCCAUACCUCCUUACGACGUAAGGGGGGAAUCUUCGGACCUCACGCUCUCACAUGAUUCUAUGUCGGAUUAGCUAGUUGGUGGGGUAAAGGCCUACCAAGGCGACGAUCCGUAACUGGUCUGAGAGGAUGAUCAGUCACACUGGAACUGAGACACGGUCCAGACUCCUACGGGAGGCAGCAGUGGGGAAUAUUGGACAAUGGGCGAAAGCCUGAUCCAGCCAUGCCGCGUGUGUGAAGAAGGUCUUCGGAUUGUAAAGCCCUUUUGGUUGGGAGGAAGGGCAGUAAGUUAAUACCUUGCUGUUUUGACGGUACCAAAAGAAUAAGCACCGGCUAACUUCGUG